This 1415-nucleotide long non-coding RNA is filed under the name Salvia miltiorrhiza (redroot sage). RNAcentral's name for it is "long non-coding RNA (SMIL_LNC004934)". The record is from RNAcentral. Lineage: Eukaryota; Viridiplantae; Streptophyta; Magnoliopsida; Lamiales; Lamiaceae.
CAUAUUACAAUUUUCCCUAUUCAAGCCUACACUAUUACAUAAAGUAUGGAAGCAAUACAUAGAUACUUAUUUAUACAUACACAUAUCAUACACACAUGUGUGAAGUACAAAAGACACACCCCAAAUCUCCUUCAAAUCCGCUGCCCCUGCAGCUCCAUUUCCCUUUUCAACUCAAAAGACCAUACAUAUGGUACAAGAGCUUGUCAAGUCAGCCACCCUACACUCACACCUGCCCCUUCUUCAUGCUUGUCAUAGGAGAGGUAGCUGCCAACCUCCUCCUCUUAACAAAUCAGCCAAGAACUCACUUCACCAUUCUACACCGAGAACUCCACGAGAAGAACAGGGACUUCCACUCGUUUCCUGCUAGCAUUCAAGGUAACCUUUGCUUGAAUCUCCUCCAUCUUUCCUUCAUGUUUCAUCCUCUGUUCAUUAAAGAACAACAUAAAAUAUAUUUCAGUAAAUUCCAUCUAUCCCUUCCACCAAAGACAAGAGAAGCAGGACUUGAAAACUAACCCAAGAGAACACCAGCAAGUACAGAUCGUUUUAAAGGUUUCAUCUUGAACUCCCAUACCUCUUUCCUUUUUGCAUAUGAUUAAAACACCUCUCAUUUCUUAUUUCAGCAAACCACACGAGUUUAUACACGUUAAGCAGGAGAUUCAUGACAUAUCAUAUGGGCAUAACCAUCUCAUCAUUUCUGUAUAUAUAUAUGUAUAUUUUUUUUUAAUGGGAGCUAUACUAUACUCUGUUAUACAAGUUUGAAUGAUUUAAAGAAAGAAUUUUUAUGAGUUUACUUUCAACUUUGGGCUGUUGUAUCGAGUCGGGUAAGAGAGAGAGUUACCUUACUGAUUAAAUAGAGACGGGAGAUGGAGAGGGAGGGGGGACACGGCGUCGGUGCCGCUACUGUCCGGCCAAGCGAGAGGUUUGGGAGAGAGCCGGGGGAGAACCGGCGGUAGUCUGUUUCAUCGGCUGCUGUCGACCGAAGAUUUGAGAGAGAGGUGGCGGCCGUGGCUCCGCCGCGGUUGCUGGAGAUCAGAGGGAGAAAGAGAGGGGUGCCGUGUUGUGAGAGAGAGUUUUGGGUGGUGUCUGGUCUGGUCUGGGCUGGGGCCGCGGAGGACGGCGGCGGUCGUGGGUUGCUGUCGCCGGGAAAUUUUAAGGAGGGAGACCGAGGGAAGCGGCGGCGCCUCGUCGUCGCUUAGGAGGAAAACGGAGCGGCGGCUGCGGCUGCUGCUGCUGCUGUCGGCCGGUUGAGUGAAGGGGAUGGAGCUCAGACGGCGGUGGAUUUCGAUGGUGGAGGGGCGGAUCUCUGGCAGAGCUGAGGGAGAGAGGGCGAGCGAAUUGUGUGAGAGGGACGAGUGGAUUUUGUGAGAGAGAGAGAGGAUUCCGAUCUGUGAAGAAAAGAGGGAGAAGGGUUUGAG